AUAGAAUCUUUUCACAAUCAAACAAUACACUCAAACUCCAUAAACGCAAAACGCAAAAUAGUGUUCAUCGUUCCAAAAACGCAAAACCCUAACUCAUCUCUUCAUCCAGGAAGCUAUGGAAUUCAUGCAACCACAAGCACCUAAUACGGUCAUCAUUCCAAAUCCCUAAGUCGACGAAAUCCCUAAUAAAUUUCAAAUCCCUAAUUGUCGCUCCAAAUCCAAACCCCUAACUCGUUCAUCGUUCCAAUCCCAAAUCCAUAAAUCUCUUUCCAAAUCGACUUAUAGCUUCUCUUGUUCUGUCUCCGACAAGUGGCGAACCUUCUCUUUCGUUCUCUCAUUCUGAAUCUGGUUCAGGGCAAGCAGUGGCAGUUAGAUGGCAUUAGAUGUCCAUUUUAUAAUUGCAGUAGCUUCCCUCUCUUGAUAAGUUAGAUAUGCUUCUUAAAUUAUUUUAUAUGGUGAUGUAUUCAUGUUGAAUUUCUAAGAAGUUGAUGAAUCUCAAUGCAUUCAUCUUUGUUUUGGAGACUGCAUUGAUUAAAUGAAUUCUGUGUUGGAUUAUAUUUUAAGUCUUUGAUUUAUAUCUUUGAUUAGGUACACAAUCUCAUGCACCAGGUGAACUUGUAGAAAUCAAAACCUCCUACUAUAAGGUUCUGAAAUUUACAAUUUUCAGGGGUAAUUGAGAUUUGUGAUGCUGUGUCAUUUUAACUCAAUAUGGUUGGAUAUUGCAGAAAGUCUAUGGAGCCAAUUGAAUAGAAUGACUUUGAAUGACACUUAAGCAAAUCAUCCUGUCCUUGGAAACGUUAAGCUAGCAUUGGAACUUCUUGUUCAGCAAAUGUGAAAUUAAAUUACAGGAUUCAUUGUUCUUCGGCACAGAUGGUUUCUCUAAAAAAGCAAUAACAUGAAGUAAUUUAUAAUUCACCUUUUUCUGUGUAGGUAUUUACAGAAGGACAAAGUUCAUGGUCCUGAAGGCAAUACCAUAUAUUAUACGAGCUUGCUGAGAGAGCUUCAGAUGGACCAAUCAAUAACAAAGUCAAGGAAUAUAUAACUCAGGUAACUGAGUUACAAGAGUCAAGAGAUGGCAGGUGUUCAGAGUUUAGUUAGCACUAAUUAAGGAUCAUGAAGCAACAUCACGUACUAGGAAUAUUGAGAUGUUUUGUGUACUUAUUUUGACUUAAUAUUUUGUAUGUUUUGCCACUCUACUAAUGGUUAGGUUUUAGUUUUUUGAAUGAUCGAACUACAUUAGUUUUUUUUUCUUUUUUCUUAUGGAGUUUCAUGUAUUUUAAUUAAACUUUUUAUGUAUGAAUGUUG
Trifolium pratense (red clover) is the source of this 1305-nucleotide long non-coding RNA. RefSeq lists it as uncharacterized. The record is from RefSeq and is a predicted model, not a curated record. NCBI's taxonomy places the organism in Eukaryota, Viridiplantae, Streptophyta, Magnoliopsida, Fabales, Fabaceae. The transcript has 3 exons.